Molecule: ribosomal RNA, 254 nt
Filed under: uncultured bacterium
Lineage: Bacteria
Description: partial 16S ribosomal RNA
Rfam family: Bacterial small subunit ribosomal RNA
Source: RNAcentral
UACAGAGGUGGCAAGCGUUGUUCGGAAUUACUGGGCGUAAAGGGCGCGUAGGCGGCCUUGUAAGUCUCGUGUGAAAGCCCUCGGCUUAACUGAGGAUCUGCACGGGAUACUGCGAGGCUUGAGUUCGGGAGAGGAAAGCGGAAUUCCGGGUGUAGCGGUGAAAUGCGUAGAUAUCCGGAGGAACACCAGUGGCGAAGGCGGCUUUCUAGACCGACACUGACGCUGAGUGCGCGAAAGCCAGGGGAGCAAACGGG